Molecule: long non-coding RNA, 765 nt
Filed under: Calidris pugnax (ruff)
Lineage: Eukaryota; Metazoa; Chordata; Aves; Charadriiformes; Scolopacidae
Description: lncRNA (ENSCPUG00000007382.1)
Source: RNAcentral
AAUUGGAAAGCGAUCUCACGGUUACUGGAGAUUUUUGAAAACUCCAGCAAAGUCACUGACUCACACACGUGUGUACAGCAGAGGAGGAACGACAGUAGUACUUCUUGGCUUUCAGCUGUCAGGUGGAGAAGAUCCUUUCAGAUAAAAUCACAGAAAAUUUUCAUAAGGCUUUGCAGUCCUAUGAUCCUAAGCAUACUGGAACUAUUAAAAGAAGUCAUCUAAGAAAAGUCCUACAGCUGUGUUGUUCCUCUUUGUCAGAUCAACAGUUUAUGAAGUUAUGCUAUAAAUACAAGAAUAACUCCUCUGAUGGAAUCUUUUACAAGAUGCUUUUGGAUAACUUAAAAGUUGCUAUUCUUUCUGGUGACUUAAAUGGUAUCAGCUCACAUAUAUCAAAGGAAAAACAACAAAGAGAAGAAAAAAGGCAAACAGAGCUUUCAAAAAGAGAUACAUUCAGAAUUGUACAACACUGAAAGCAUUGCAUCAGGAGAGCAAACACACAUGGAUCAUUCAUCAAAGACUCUAGGAUUCAGAAUCAAGCAGAUUGAAGAUCAAACUAACAAAUACGCCCAGGAUAGAACUGUUGAUGAAGUAGUUAAAAGGUUGAAGGACAGAGUGAUACAAGAGGCAGCCACUACUAAAGACAGCUUUUUUACCUACAACAAGUAUGAGAAAAUUAAUAAAGCUGGCUUGCAGAAGAUGAAAGUGCUAGUAGUUGAGGCUGUAGUCACCAACGUUACUAUUGUGACUGAUUCUCUCCAGCUUUGA